UGUUUGCUGAUGACUGAAUCCCUGGGUUAAACGGCCCAACAAGCAAUCAAACACGAGCGAUAUAUCAAAACCGAACGGAUAACCUAGACGAGAGUUUUGGCCGUUGGCAAGCACCGCCCGCAAGCGCUCGAUCGCACACAAGGUUCGAGACGAGCAGUAUUCGGGUUGGGCCUCGUGGCCUUCCAAGCACAUUUUGUAUACUAUUUAUUCGCGAUUUAGGAAGCGAUGUCGGGGGUUUGAUUUCCGGCGGAGGCCAGGUUGGCCGCGGCCUAGCCGGCUGGUCCAAAAAUCGCGCCGAGUCAGCCAGCCGAUGAGCCGUCGCCGGCCGUGGCAUCAUUAAGCAGGUCGUCACCGUCAUCAAAUGGACAGCCGCCUUUGAUGGCGUAGGCGAGACAGUCCGAGCGACCGUAACGAGCCGCGCCUUUCACUGUCUGUCUGUCCCAUGGACACCCGUGGCGACAGAGCCAGUCGAGCACGUCGAGAUGCCCGCCUCGGGCCGCUGCCGCGGCCGUCUCCUCGGACCACGGGCAUCCUUGCGCGCGCAGCCACUGGAGCGCCCGCAGUUGCCCUUUUUCGGCGGCCCAGGUGCAGGCAUCGUCGAACCCGGGACAUCCAUUCUUGAGCAGAUAUUCCAGGCAGUCGAUAUAGCCACCCGACAAGGCGCUCCACGUUGUCCAAGUGUCCCACUCUCCGCCACUCUCGUGCACGUACUUGAGCACAUUGAGAUGGCCGUGCUCCGCGGCGUUCCACGAGGUGAUGGCACACGUCGGCCAUCCGUUCUCGCACGCGUAGCGCAGAGUGUCGACAUGCCCACCAGCGGCGGCAAGGCGGCACGCGAGUUCGCCGUCGUCGCCGAGGCCAUUCUCCUUGGCGUAGCGCAGCACGUCCGUGUGUCCGUUUUCAGCCGCCUCGUCGCAUUCUCCCCUCCAGUAACAGCCGGCACCGUGGGCGUAGCGCAGGCAGUCAAUGCGACCAUAAGUCUCGGCGGCAGUACACACACCAUAGUGCCACGGGCAGCCGUUUUCGUGCGCGUACACGAGUAUGUCGAGGUGGCCGCGAGCGGCCGCUGGCACUAGGCACGCACCGUCGUACCACGGGUGGGCAGUCAAGCGCGCCAUGCAGUCGACGUGGCCGCUGUUGGCCGCUAGCAUGCGCACCAGGACGGCCCGCGGCUUUCUGCGUCGCGUCUCCCGGAGACUCUCUUCGAGGAGACGCCCCAAGUAGCCGACCUGCUCGGCCAUCAGCGGCCCUUGGAGAAAGGCCUCGCGCGCGGCGGCACUUGUGCACAGCGGUUUCCCGAUGGCCGCCGCGUCGUAGAUGACUGAGCGCCAUCGCCUGCACACACGCGCCACGUUGCGACACAGAUCGAUGCAUGGCAGAGGCGCCAGGAUGGCGGCCACCAACUCGCCGGGCAGAUCGUCAAAGCCGAUGCCCUGCUUUGGCGAUCCGCGUGGCGGCGCAGACGCAGCGCAGCACACGACGAGGCGAUCAACAAGGCACCCAUCGUGCUUGGCGACGGGGCGCUUCUUGUGGUGGCGCCGUCCCCGGCGUCUGCGCUGAUUCUGCUUGCCGUCUCUAGGGUGAUCUUCCAUCUCGCCUUGGCGUUUCCACGUUGCUUUGGCCCUUGCGAUGGCGACACCGCGACACGAGGACAAUAGCCAAGCGGCGCGCACAACAGCCGCGACGGUGGCAACAAGAGACCCGAGAGGCGGCCAGCGUUUGUGCCGCUGCGGCGCGUCGCCCACUCGCACGGCGGCGGCUGCACCGUCGAUCAGUCGACGAGCCACGUUGCCCACGGCGGCCGGCAUGCGAUGUUCUUUUCAUUUCCUAUUGGUUGUGCAUUUUUUCAUGAAAUUACUGUCGACUGAAUGGAUCAUAGCAAAAAAAAAGCAAGAAAAAUCCCGACAAGG
RNAcentral lists this long non-coding RNA (1910 nucleotides) under Pandoravirus dulcis. RNAcentral's name for it is "putative ncRNA". The record is from RNAcentral.